UACAGAGGUCCCAAGCGUUGUUCGGAUUCAUUGGGCGUAAAGGGUGCGUAGGUGGCGCCGUAAGUCGGGGUGUGAAAUUUCGGAGCUUAACUCCGAAACUGCAUUCGAUACUGCGGUGCUUGAGGACUGGAGAGGAGACUGGAAUUCUCGGUGUAGCGGUGAAAUGCGUAGAUAUCAGGAAGAACACCGGUGGCGAAGGCGGGUCUCUGGGCCGAUACUGACGCUGAGGAGCGAAAGCGUGGGGAGCGAACAGG
This 254-nucleotide ribosomal RNA is filed under the name uncultured bacterium. RNAcentral's name for it is "partial 16S ribosomal RNA". It matches the Rfam family "Bacterial small subunit ribosomal RNA", at positions 524 to 776 of the family's 1533-position model. The record is from RNAcentral.